UGAGGAAUAUUGGUCAAUGGACGCAAGUCUGAACCAGCCAAGUAGCGUGCAGGAUGACGGCCCUAUGGGUUGUAAACUGCUUUUAUAUGGGGAUAAAGUGGGGAACGUGUUCCCUUUUGCAGGUACCAUAUGAAUAAGGACCGGCUAAUUCCGUGCCAGCAGCCGCGGUAAUACAGAAGGUUCGGGCGUUAUCCGGAUUUAUUGGGUUUAAAGGGAGCGUAGGCCGUUUGGUAAGCGUGUUGUGAAAUGUAGGAGCUCAACUUCUAGAUUGCAGCGCGAACUGUCAGACUUGAGUGCGCACAACGUAGGCGGAAUUCAUGGUGUAGCGGUGAAAUGCUUAGAUAUCAUGACGAACUCCGAUUGCGAAGGCAGCUUACGGGAGCGCAACUGACGCUAAAGCUCGAAGGUGCGGGUAUCGAACAGG
RNAcentral lists this ribosomal RNA (424 nucleotides) under Verrucomicrobiota bacterium. RNAcentral describes it as "Verrucomicrobia bacterium partial 16S ribosomal RNA". It matches the Rfam family "Bacterial small subunit ribosomal RNA", at positions 355 to 776 of the family's 1533-position model. The record is from RNAcentral. Lineage: Bacteria; Pseudomonadati; Verrucomicrobiota.